Molecule: long non-coding RNA, 757 nt
Filed under: Olea europaea subsp. europaea
Lineage: Eukaryota; Viridiplantae; Streptophyta; Magnoliopsida; Lamiales; Oleaceae
Source: RNAcentral
CAGCCAUGUUAAGGCUUCUCCCCUUGACGUUUUGUUUGGCCAAAGGGAGGCAUGUGCUGAGCCUCGGAGUUCAAGCGAGGUGGCCCAUAGGUGGGACGCGAACCUCUCCUCCGAGGUGUCGAGGUAGUGCAACAUGUUAAUUUAAUCACUGAAUUUUAUUGAACCAUAGAAAUGUUACAAAGGCUGGGAAAGGUCGUCCAACAAGAUAGUACAUUCAUUGGUAAUAGAUUCUGUGGUGUUCAAUGUUCCAUGGACGGGGUUGUGCCUUGCCGUUCAUGUCUUCAAUCCAGUAAGUCUCAGGUCAAAUUUUUUCUCUGAUUUUGUAUGGACCUUCCCAGUUUGGGCCUAGAGAACCGGAACCAGGUCCUUUUGAGGACAGGAAGACCCUUCUGAGUACAAGGUCGUUGAUUCGAAAUGACAUCUUCUUGACUUUCGAGUUGAAGUACCUUGUCAUCUUUCUCUGAUAUGUGUCGAGCUUCAAUUGGGAGUCAUCUCUUCUUUCUUCAAUGAAGUCGAGGUUGAGCCUCCGAAGCUCAUCGUUAGUUAUCUUACUAAAGUGCAGAUGUCUCGGGGAUGGAAGUCCGACCUCCACGGGGCUCAUCACCUCAAUUCCAAAUGCCAUGUGGAAAAGUGCUUCUUUAUGUCGAGCUCUUCGCAUAAUUCUCUAACCUUCUUGUUGUCAAACUGUCUGCCAUUGUCCGAGACAAUUGAGUGGGGAAUUCCGAACCGGGAAAUAAUACUUUUCCAUAAGAACUUG